ACAAGAGUAGGAGGAGGAGGAGGGAGGGAGGGAGGAUGACGGUCUGCGGGUGAGGCGGCUUGAAAGUCAGUCGGCUUCACAGCCAUUGCAGCAGAGGCCCCGAAUCAAAGAGAAAGACGAAUGAAGACAGGCAGCGCGCACAGAAAUGCUUUGGAGGCGACGAAGGUGGCGACCCCGGAAAGCUUUUGUGUCUGCGUGUGCGAUGUGGCUGCGCAUGCUGCCGCUUGAGGUGGCGCCUUCACGACUUGCUUCGCAGUAAGCGCGCGACCUGCUGAGCAACGUCGUCGUCCUCUUUCCCCUCCUCCUCGCCCUCCCUAUUCCCAUUAAGCAGCAGCAGCCGCUCGCCGGGGCUCUCCGCACUAGAACUAAUUGCUGGAGUUCGCUUUGCGCCCGCUGGUCAGGGCGGCAAUUGGGAACCACGGCGCGCUCGGAGUCGGAGGCUUCUCCCUCCAGUGGACGGGUGGCCAGCCAGGCAAGCGAACUGGGCAAGCCAACCAGCCUCCCGCCUGGCCGGCCGCAAACAGAACUGCCGCUUGCCAAGAGGAGAGCUGGUCGUGUCGUAGCCGCCGCAGAAGCAGCGGGGGUCGUUGUGGGAGAUUUUCCUUUUUAUCUUUUUGAUGGUAGACUUAACAUGGUCCACUAGUCUGCAAUUUCACAUGUUCUUCAGGAAUUCUUAAAGGAAUCAAGCAUGAGAAAUAGGAUGAGAAAAGACAAAAAAAGAAAACCUGGGUCUUAGAGAGCUGCUUGAAGAAAAGGCAUGUUUUUAUUCUGAAGCCAAAUUUUACAUAAUCGAUCUAGAUUAUCAUCUUUGAUGCACGUAUAUAUGAUAGCAGAGAUGGAUCAAAAUGGAACUUCGGAUGUUGAACAAAUAGGUAAUGGAGGAAACAUCCAAGAACUAUUGAAACUGCUGUACAUUGAAUUUUGUAGCAGGCUAUAGAUGUCCUUAUUAAUCUAAUCUCAAUUCACAAAUAACAAAACAGCCUUUAAAGUGAAUAAAAAGAAAGCUG
Molecule: long non-coding RNA, 1007 nt
Filed under: Salvator merianae (Argentine black and white tegu)
Lineage: Eukaryota; Metazoa; Chordata; Lepidosauria; Squamata; Teiidae
Description: lncRNA (ENSSMRG00000000246.1)
Source: RNAcentral